This 552-nucleotide ribosomal RNA is filed under the name Triticum aestivum (bread wheat). RNAcentral describes it as "partial small subunit ribosomal RNA". Lineage: Eukaryota; Viridiplantae; Streptophyta; Magnoliopsida; Poales; Poaceae. The record is from RNAcentral.
GGAUCCGAUAAUGACAUAUUGGAUGAUGAUGAGGAAGCGAGCAAGUCUACCGAUAAACUUAGCGACAUUGAUCCAUUUGACACUGUCUACUCAAACAUUCUAGACAGCACUCACGUCCUGAAGCUCGAUGAAAAUUGCAAACACUGUACGGCCAGGAAGUUUGAAUCUGAGACUGCCGGCUUCUGCUGUCGCAAUGGCCAGAUCCAGCUUAAGCAACCGGAACCAAUCCCAGAGCUUGUGAGGCUAUGGUCCAGCAUGGAUGCAGAUUCGAGACAUUUUCGGGAGAACAUACGGUUCUUCAACGGGCAUUUCGCCUUCACCACCCUUGGCGUCAGCCUUGAUGAAAACUACACAAACAUGAGGUCUGGGGUGUACACGUUCCGAGCUCAUGGCACCAUCUACCACAAUGUCCAUUCAUUCGGGCCUAGCUCGCGUCCAGAACAUCUGCAGUUCUACUUCUAUGACGACGACCCUAACCUAGAUCAUCGUAAGGCGGCCACCAAGCAAUUAGACCAAGAUGUCGUGAAGAGGUUAGUAGACAUACUCAAAUAA